CACUUAAUACCCUCUUAACACCAACCCAUUUCCUUAAUUCCCGAGACAUGUGAAUUCUUUAAUAACCAAACCUCCACAACCAUUAUACAAAUCCUGUUCUUCCACCCUCUCUGUUCUUAUAUGUGUGCGACACCAAGGGACCAUCAACUUGUUUGCCAUCUCUUUCUACUCCCAAACAGUUAGCAAACCACCGGAGUUGGAGGUCUCGCCGGAAAAUAUCACGUGUUAUCGACCACUGUGAAGAUCGGAAAACCCGUACACAACCUCAACGCCCUCUCUGUUUCGAUAACCAGCUGUCAGGGAAACCGAAACACACCGGAGUUUCGUCGGAAGAACUAGUCGGAGAUCCACUCACGUCGUAUUCGAAUUAUAGCACAUCGAAAACACCGUCGGAGAAUAACCGAAGCCACCGGAGCCGCACGGGAUCGACUGCAACUCGUUCCUUCCUCGUUUUCGUUCACCGAGCACGUCGCCGGAGUUCGAAACUUGCUGGAGAUUGGAGUUCCACCGGAGCCGUACAGAGAUCGACGGGAAUCCUUUUUAUGUUUCGGAUAACCAUUACGUUCGUUCUCUUGGAUUCACAAUACUUACUCGUGUGUUGUUUCAAGAAUUCUCACACGCAACCAAUGUUAAUUGAUGAAGUGAUGUUACAAGAUGAAACAAGAUUUAGGGUGGACUAGAUACACACCUAGAUUAAUCU
This 700-nucleotide long non-coding RNA is filed under the name Helianthus annuus (common sunflower). Lineage: Eukaryota; Viridiplantae; Streptophyta; Magnoliopsida; Asterales; Asteraceae. The record is from RNAcentral.